UACCUUUUGUAUAAUGGGUCAGCGACUUAUAUUCUGUAGCAAGGUUAACCGAAUAGGGGAGCCGAAGGGAAACCGAGUCUUAACUGGGCGUUAAGUUGCAGGGUAUAGACCCGAAACCCGGUGAUCUAGCCAUGGGCAGGUUGAAGGUUGGGUAACACUAACUGGAGGACCGAACCGACUAAUGUUGAAAAAUUAGCGGAUGACUUGUGGCUGGGGGUGAAAGGCCAAUCAAACCGGGAGAUAGCUGGUUCUCCCCGAAAGCUAUUUAGGUAGCGCCUCGUGAAUUCAUCUCCGGGGGUAGAGCACUGUUUCGGCAAGGGGGUCAUCCCGACUUACCAACCCGAUGCAAACUGCGAAUACCGGAGAAUGUUAUCACGGGAGACACACGGCGGGUGCUAACGUCCGUCGUGAAGAGGGAAACAACCCAGACCGCCAGCUAAGGUCCCAAAGUCAUGGUUAAGUGGGAAACGAUGUGGGAAGGCCCAGACAGCCAGGAUGUUGGCUUAGAAGCAGCCAUCAUUUAAAGAAAGCGUAAUAGCUCACUGGUCGAGUCGGCCUGCGCGGAAGAUGUAACGGGGCUAAACCAUGCACCGAAGCUGCGGCAGCGACACUGUGUGUUGUUGGGUAGGGGAGCGUUCUGUAAGCCUGCGAAGGUGUGCUGUGAGGCAUGCUGGAGGUAUCAGAAGUGCGAAUGCUGACAUAAGUAACGAUAAAGCGGGUGAAAAGCCCGCUCGCCGGAAGACCAAGGGUUCCUGUCCAACGUUAAUCGGGGCAGGGUGAGUCGACCCCUAAGGCGAGGCCGAAAGGCGUAGUCGAUGGGAAACAGGUUAAUAUUCCUGUACUUGGUGUUACUGCGAAGGGGGGACGGAGAAGGCUAUGUUGGCCGGGCGACGGUUGUCCCGGUUUAAGCGUGUAGGCUGGUUUUCCAGGCAAAUCCGGAAAAUCAAGGCUGAGGCGUGAUGACGAGGCACUACGGUGCUGAAGCAACAAAUGCCCUGCUUCCAGGAAAAGCCUCUAAGCAUCAGGUAACAUCAAAUCGUACCCCAAACCGACACAGGUGGUCAGGUAGAGAAUACCAAGGCGCUUGAGAGAACUCGGGUGAAGGAACUAGGCAAAAUGGUGCCGUAACUUCGGGAGAAGGCACGCUGAUACGUAGGUGAAGUCCCUCGCGGAUGGAGCUGAAAUCAGUCGAAGAUACCAGCUGGCUGCAACUGUUUAUUAAAAACACAGCACUGUGCAAACACGAAAGUGGACGUAUACGGUGUGACGCCUGCCCGGUGCCGGAAGGUUAAUUGAUGGGGUCAGCGCAAGCGAAGCUCUUGAUCGAAGCCCCGGUAAACGGCGGCCGUAACUAUAACGGUCCUAAGGUAGCGAAAUUCCUUGUCGGGUAAGUUCCGACCUGCACGAAUGGCGUAAUGAUGGCCAGGCUGUCUCCACCCGAGACUCAGUGAAAUUGAACUCGCUGUGAAGAUGCAGUGUACCCGCGGCAAGACGGAAAGACCCCGUGAACCUUUACUAUAGCUUGACACUGAACAUUGAGCCUUGAUGUGUAGGAUAGGUGGGAGGCUUUGAAGUGUGGACGCCAGUCUGCAUGGAGCCGACCUUGAAAUACCACCCUUUAAUGUUUGAUGUUCUAACGUUGACCCGUAAUCCGGGUUGCGGACAGUGUCUGGUGGGUAGUUUGACUGGGGCGGUCUCCUCCUAAAGAGUAACGGAGGAGCACGAAGGUUGGCUAAUCCUGGUCGGACAUCAGGAGGUUAGUGCAAUGGCAUAAGCCAGCUUGACUGCGAGCGUGACGGCGCGAGCAGGUGCGAAAGCAGGUCAUAGUGAUCCGGUGGUUCUGAAUGGAAGGGCCAUCGCUCAACGGAUAAAAGGUACUCCGGGGAUAACAGGCUGAUACCGCCCAAGAGUUCAUAUCGACGGCGGUGUUUGGCACCUCGAUGUCGGCUCAUCACAUCCUGGGGCUGAAGUAGGUCCCAAGGGUAUGGCUGUUCGCCAUUUAAAGUGGUACGCGAGCUGGGUUUAGAACGUCGUGAGACAGUUCGGUCCCUA
RNAcentral lists this ribosomal RNA (2052 nucleotides) under Escherichia coli. RNAcentral's name for it is "partial 23S ribosomal RNA". It matches the Rfam family "Bacterial large subunit ribosomal RNA", at positions 602 to 2640 of the family's 2925-position model. Lineage: Bacteria; Pseudomonadati; Pseudomonadota; Gammaproteobacteria; Enterobacterales; Enterobacteriaceae. The record is from RNAcentral.